RNAcentral lists this long non-coding RNA (2038 nucleotides) under Hordeum vulgare. RNAcentral describes it as "long non-coding RNA (HVUL_LNC000228)". The record is from RNAcentral. Lineage: Eukaryota; Viridiplantae; Streptophyta; Magnoliopsida; Poales; Poaceae.
AAUGAGAUAUUUGCGUACGAUUUGGAUUUUAGGAGUUAAAUUUAGGAGUUCUGCUAGCUUCACACAAUUUUUAACUUCUCAUAUUUGAUGAGUUCAGAUUUGAGAAGAAAUUUGUGAUAUGAUAUUUUGAGGAUUCGAUUCGAUAUGCCCAAACGAUUUCAAAUAGGCACAACGCAAGAAAGAUGGGUGAAAUGUUCUUUUUUUGUGUGUUCGACAAAUGUAGCACCCCUCCCGAUCUCUCUCCCAUUUCAUUUCGUUUCAUUAGCAUGCUAAGUGGCCGAAAUAAAUCACCCGAAUACGUCGGGCACUUAUAAAUCAAGAUGGAUGAAGUAAAAUGGAACGGUUGCAUAGGGGACACACUGAAAUGCGCCACGGGCAAAGAAUAGAGUGAGGAGGACUUGAUGUGGAGGCUUAUCUCUAAGACUAAUUAGUAGAGGUAGUGGACUGUUGGGGAUAUGACUGAUAACUUCAUAUGUAUGGUGUGAUCUAGCUGCCGCUAAUUAGCUUCAUCACUAUGGCGUGGUCUACUGUUUCAUGUCAAUGUGUACAUGUAUGCAUAAUUCUCAUGACAUUCCUCCUAUUAUAAAAGCUCCAUUACAUUACACUUUCAAGGAAGCUAUCAUGUCUGCACCUAUGAUGAGAUGAGUACGUAGUACUGAGCACAGAGUUAAAAGUGUCACCCACAUAAUUUAGGUAUUAGAUGAGAUAUUAGAAGAAACUGAAGGUACAAGUUUAGAACCAGUUGAGUCCGAAGUGUGUGAUAAAUUUCAAUUUGGGUGGUGGCAAUGUAGUCAUACUGGACAAAUGCAGUUUAGAGUCGUCUUCUCCCACGGUUUGACUGGCUCCCACCUCGACGGCCUUCGCGCACCGCCGGCUAAUGGCAUGUCUUGCUGCCACCUCGCUCAUGCGGCGCCGGCGCAGACUCCACAAGUAUAUUGUUUCUGUUGGAGUUAACCACGGCGUCCGAGUCGUGUUGAACCAAAACAGUUACCUAGCAUAAGAUUUGUAAUUGGACUAGGACUAGUUUACAACUACCUUAGAUAUAUCGAUAUAUCCCUGCAUUAUAAAUUGUAAUAGUACCAAAAUUGAGAGAAAAGCAAUACAAACAUCAGGACCGAUACGGUCCUGUGGCCAUAGCUCGGCGUGUCUUGUGUUCUCAUGAAUUGGAGCGACAGGCUUCCGGCGAGAUUGUCUGCAAGCUUAAGGCUAAUUAGCUAGCUAUCACGUUUGUCAGUUUCUAGCUAGAUCAAUCCGGUACUUUGGCUAGCUUGCCGUCAGUGUAUACCAAGGGAAGAACUCGUCGGUUGAUCGUACCAAGUCGCUCGUCGUCUUUGUCGACGUCGGUCGUGAUGUGUCGUCGGAAAGUACUCGACGUACGGGUCUGGGUCAACAAUUGGUAUCUAGAUCAAGGUUGAUCUUCUACUAACGGGAGAUCAUGUCGGACAACGAGAAGGACAAGCAGUUGGCGGAGUACACCGGUGCAGCUAAAGUAUUCGCUGCUCCGGCGAGUUCGUCGUACCCACGAUUUGACCGUGAGAACUUCGGGGUCUGGAAGGCCCUGAUGGAGUGUGGUCUCCGCGCCAACGUGUUGUGGGAUGCAGUCGAUUCAGAAGGCGACACUUUCAAGAAGGAGGGAGCUGAGCAUCGGAAGGAUCGGCAGGCGUCGUCGGCGAUUUAUUCGGUGAUGCCGAUGGAUGUCCUUCGACACGUGAUCGUCAAAGAAACGGCGAAGGAGGUGUGGGAUACCUUGAAGCUCGUGUUUGAGGGACACACCCGCGUCAAGCAAGCCAAUCUCCAAACUCUCUUAAGGAACUACGAGACUUUCGUCAUGGGCGACAAUGAGUCCGUGGACGCGUUCUCUUCACGGGUUGCUACUCUUGUCAACCGGAUCCGCGCACUUGGAGAAAACCUCACAGAGGCCUCGGUAGUCCAUCGGUUCUUGCGCGCAGCUCCUCCCCGGUACCUGCAAAUUGUCACGACGAUCGAGCAGUGCGUCGAUCUCGCGACCCUGUCCAUUGAUGAUCUCGUCGGAUGCUAC